Molecule: ribosomal RNA, 742 nt
Filed under: uncultured organism
Description: bacterial SSU rRNA
Rfam family: Bacterial small subunit ribosomal RNA
Source: RNAcentral
GCUUAGAUAUUACACAGUACACCGAUUGCGAAGGCAGCUUACUGAACUACGAUUGACGCUGAGGUUACGUAAGCGUGGGGAGCGAACAGGAUUAGAUACCCUGGUAGUCCACGCUGUAAACGAUGAUCACUCGUUGUUGGCAAUACACCGUCAGCGACUGAGCGAAAGCAUUAAGUGAUCCACCUGGGGAGUACGACCGCAAGGUUGAAACUCAAAGGAAUUGACGGGGGCCCGCACAAGCGGAGGAACAUGUGGUUUAAUUCGAUGAUACGCGAGGAACCUUACCUGGGCUUAAAUGUAGAACGACGGACCGGGAAACUGGUCUUUCUUCGGACGGUCUGCAAGGUGCUGCAUGGCUGUCGUCAGCUCGUGCCGUGAGGUGUCGGGUUAAGUCCCAUAACGAGCGCAACCCUCAUCAUUAGUUGCCAGCGGGUAAUGCCGGGGACCCUAAUGAAACUGCCGGUGUAAACCGAGGGGGAGGUGGGGAUGACGUCAAGUCAGCACGGCCCUUAUGUCCAGGGCUACACACGUGUUACAAUGGUCGGUACAAAGGGCAGCUACCUGGCGACAGGAUGCUAAUCUCGAAAACCGAUCUCAGUUCGGAUCGAAGUCUGCAACUCGACUUCGUGAAGCUGGAUUCGCUAGUAAUCGCGCAUCAGCCAUGGCGCGGUGAUACGUUCCCGGGCCUUGUACGCACCGCCCGUCAAGCCAUGGAAGCUGGGGGUACAAGAAGUCCGUAACC